UUUUAUAUUUGCAAAUUUCACAAAAUGGCAGCGAGUUGAAAAAAAGUUUCAUUUUUUGACCAUGUGUUUCAAUCUAAAAAUGACUGUAAAAAAUUGAAAAAAAAGCUUGUGGGUAGACCUAGCGAGAUGUUUUGUGAAUAAGUAACGCUUUACAAAUCUAGAAUAUCUUCUAUGGUUUCGUCAAAAUGGUGCCAAAACUUUUGAAAAACACUACUUUCGGGAAAACGCGUUUAAAGAUAAAUGUUACAAUUACAUAAUGGCAAAACGUACCAAUUUAAUCAGCUUUGCCAGGACCGUACAGCAUGUUUUCGAUCAAAUCCUUCACGGGCAUGUUUUUAGUUAUGUCUACUUUAGAAAUAUGAAAAAAAAAAACGAUUUUUUCAAACCGCGAAGGUAGAAGACCCCCUUAAUACGGUGACAGCAAUACAGGAUGUUUUUAUAGUGUGAUUUGGUGAGUCAGAUGCAAGCGUUUCUGUAACCUGAGAUCUUUCUUGAGAUGAAGGCGAGGGCAAGUCUCCAAGGUGAAGGAGAUUGAAAAUUGCCGGAGUUGAAUGGCGGGCCUAUACAAAUCAUAAGUUCUAUUACUUCCCACCUAAUUGCCUGGAGAAUAUGGCGAAAUGCAUGGCGAAAUCCAUAUUCUCCAACGUCCUGCAGUGCUGCUCCGGAAACGAUGCCAUGGCUUCCCACGUUGGAAUUUAAUUUUUUUAAGACUGGGUCCUCCAAACGCUCCUCCCAUUUUGCAGCUUUCAGUUUUUGAAGUACAUGGACGAUUAUGCAUCAACCUAUUUGUUUUCACCAAGCGAAUGGUUUCCAACCCAGAGUCCCGCAACAAGAUAGUAGAUGAUCUAGCUUCUCUAUAUUUGUGAGAUCCGGAUGGCUAUCUAUGAUGGUAGUAAGCAUAAAAUAAAAGUCUAGCCAAUUAGCGUAGCCCCCAGCGAAUCUUAGGAGCUCAAGAGGGGGCAGAGUCUGUGCCCUAUGCCGGAGUGGACACAAUCACACUGAGAAAUGAUGUCCGUCAAGGAUGAGUGGGAGUGCAUUUGCAAGGUGCGCUUUGAAAUCUCCCCCCGAACUGAGGAUUUAAGCGUUACGAGAAAGUCAUAAAAAUUUUCACUCAGAUUACUUUCAAUUUCGUCCAAACCAAGUUCCUCGAGCUCGGAAUUUUCUAUUGAAAAUUGCAGCCGCCUUCCGCUUUAAAGAUGUUGUUACGAACUGUUUAUUUUCAUAUUUGUGGCAGUGCCGCUAGCUCAGGCUUUUCCCAGGGCGGAGUUUCCGCCCUGCCACACAGCUCGCAACAUAAACAUCGAUAACUAUAAACGUCUCACAACUCUACACAACGAAGGCAUUAAAUCUUACAAAUUGACGAGAACUUUAAGUUUUUUUGGCCGCAGAUGCUUUGGCCAUGCGUGCCCACCAAACCUAGGAUGCCCGGACGAUUUAACGGACAUCACCCAUUAUUUAUACGUCGGGGUCACUCCAGACGACAACGACGGCUCCAUCUCCCCCACAGUGAACACUCACUCAACCAUUCCGGCUGAAACGGUCAAAGCGACAAGUCUAGGAAGCCUUCGAGAUUUACAAGACACCGCGGAAACUUGGCCCGCAAUUGGCGGUGCUUUUAAUGACGGCACUGAAACGGACGUAUUUACUGACCUUGACUCUAGGAUAGGCUAUUAGUAUAUGGAUAAUGUUAUCGGACGGAAGAACCCUAAUUUUAGAGGCUUCUAAUAAACUAACUAUUGGGGUGUCUUGUUCAAUAA
Molecule: long non-coding RNA, 1757 nt
Organism: Drosophila teissieri
Lineage: Eukaryota; Metazoa; Arthropoda; Insecta; Diptera; Drosophilidae
Exons: 2
Source: RefSeq, a predicted model, not a curated record